RNAcentral lists this ribosomal RNA (886 nucleotides) under Plagiostoma jonesii. RNAcentral's name for it is "eukaryotic LSU rRNA". It matches the Rfam family "Eukaryotic large subunit ribosomal RNA", at positions 34 to 947 of the family's 3401-position model. Lineage: Eukaryota; Fungi; Ascomycota; Sordariomycetes; Diaporthales; Gnomoniaceae. The record is from RNAcentral.
CUAAGCAUAUCAAUAAGCGGAGGAAAAGAAACCAACAGGGAUUGCCCUAGUAACGGCGAGUGAAGCGGCAACAGCUCAAAUUUGAAAUCUGGCUUCGGCCCGAGUUGUAAUUUGCAGAGGAUGUUUAUGGUGCGGUACCUUCCGAGUUCCCUGGAACGGGACGCCACAGAGGGUGAGAGCCCCGUCUGGUUGGAUACCAAACCUGUGUUAAACUCCUUCAACGAGUCGAGUAGUUUGGGAAUGCUGCUCUAAAUGGGAGGUAAAUCUCUUCUAAAGCUAAAUACUGGCCAGAGACCGAUAGCGCACAAGUAGAGUGAUCGAAAGAUGAAAAGCACCUUGAAAAGGGGGUUAAACAGUACGUGAAAUUGUUGAAAGGGAAGCGUUUAUGACCAGACUUGUGUCGUGUGGCUCAUCCGAGGUUCUCCCCGGUGCACUCCAUGCGGCUCAGGCCAACAUCGGUUCUUGUUGGAGGAUAAGAACAGUAGGAACGUAGCUCCUCUUCGGGGGAGUGUUAUAGCCUAUUGUACGAUACUCUGACGGGGACCGAGGACCGCGCUUCGGCUAGGAUGUUGGCGUAAUGGUCAUUAGCGACCCGUCUUGAAACACGGACCAAGGAGUCGUCCAUUAGAGCGAGCGUUUGGGUGUAAAACCCGCACGCGUAAUGAAAGUGAAAUUAGGUGAGAGCUUCGGCGCAUCAUCGACCGAUCCUGAAGUUUACGGAUGGAUUUGAGUAAGAGUUUUAACGGACGGACCCGAAAGACAGUGAACUAUGCUUGAAUAGGGUGAAGCCAGAGGAAACUCUGGUGGAGGCUCGCAGCGGUUCUGACGUGCAAAUCGAUCGUCAAAUUUGAGCAUGGGGGCGAAAGACUAAUCGAACUCAGCCCCA